UCCCUGUUACCAGGGCAGUCUGAAUAGAAAAAUUCAACUAUUCAAAAGGGUUGCGCUCGUUGAUGGACUUAACCAAACAUCUCACGACACGAGCUGACGACGGCCAUGCAACACCUGUCACUAGAUUCCCGAAGGCACUCUCUCCUUUCGGAGAAAUUCCUAGGAUGUCAAGCCUGGGUAAGGUUCUUCGCUUAUCAUCGAAUUAAACAACACGCUCCACCGCUUGUGCGGGUCCCCGUCAAUUCCUUUAUGUUUUAGUCUUGCGACCGUACUCCACAGGCGGGAUGCUUAACGCGUUAGCUUCGCUACUAGCCGGGUCGAUACGGCUAACAGCCAGCAUCCAUCGUUUACGGCGUGGACUAC
RNAcentral lists this unclassified non-coding RNA (363 nucleotides) under uncultured bacterium. RNAcentral's name for it is "contains 16S-23S intergenic spacer region". The record is from RNAcentral.